GAUCAUGGCUCAGGACGAACGCUGGCGGCGUGCUUAACACAUGCAAGUCGAACGAGAAUCUGUGGAUCGAGGAUUCGUCCAAGUGAAGCAGGGGACAGUGGCGGACGGGUGAGUAACGCGUGAGGAGCCUGCCUUUCAGAGGGGGACAACAGUUGGAAACGACUGCUAAUACCGCAUGAUACAUUUGGGUGGCAUCAUCUGAAUGUCAAAGAUUUAUCGCUGAAAG
Molecule: ribosomal RNA, 226 nt
Filed under: uncultured bacterium
Lineage: Bacteria
Description: partial 16S ribosomal RNA
Rfam family: Bacterial small subunit ribosomal RNA
Source: RNAcentral